Molecule: ribosomal RNA, 427 nt
Filed under: uncultured beta proteobacterium
Lineage: Bacteria; Pseudomonadati; Pseudomonadota; Betaproteobacteria
Description: bacterial SSU rRNA
Rfam family: Bacterial small subunit ribosomal RNA
Source: RNAcentral
UGGGGAAUUUUGGACAAUGGGCGAAAGCCUGAUCCAGCCAUGCCGCGUGAGUGAAGAAGGCCUUCGGGUUGUAAAGCUCUUUUAGUCGGAAAGAAAGAGUUGCAAUGAAUAAUUGUGAUUUAUGACGGUACCGACAGAAAAAGCACCGGCUAACUACGUGCCAGCAGCCGCGGUAAUACGUAGGGUGCGAGCGUUAAUCGGAAUUACUGGGCGUAAAGCGCACGCAGGCGGUCUGUCAAGUCGGAUGUGAAAUCCCCGGGCUUAACCUGGGAAUUGCGUUUGAAACUACAAGACUAGAGUGCAGCAGAGGGGAGUGGGAUUCCAUGUGUAGCAGUGAAAUGCGUAGAGAUGUGGAAGAACACCGAUGGCGAAGGCAGCUCCCUGGGUUGACACUGACGCUCAUGCACGAAAGCGUGGGGAGCAAACA